Molecule: ribosomal RNA, 252 nt
Filed under: uncultured bacterium
Lineage: Bacteria
Description: partial 16S ribosomal RNA
Rfam family: Bacterial small subunit ribosomal RNA
Source: RNAcentral
UGGGAGUGAGUGGCGAACGGGUGAGUAACACGUGAGUAACCUGCCCCCUUCCUUUGGGAUAACGCCCGGAAACGGGUGCUAAUACUGGAUAUUCACUGAUCUUCGCAUGGGGGUUGGUGGAAAGGGUUUUUUCUGGUGGGGGAUGGGCUCGCGGCCUAUCAGCUUGUUGGUGGGGUGAUGGCCUACCAAGGCUUUGACGGGUAGCCGGCCUGAGAGGGUGACCGGUCACAUUGGGACUGAGAUACGGCCCAG